GACGAACGCUGGCGGCGUGCCUAAUACAUGCAAGUAGAACGCACAGUUUAUACCGUAGCUUACUACACCAUAAACUGUGAGUUGCGAACGGGUGAGUAACGCGUAGGUAACCUGCCUGGUAGCGGGGGAUAACUAUUGGAAACGAUAGCUAAUACCGCAUAAUAUUAAUUAUUGCAUGAUAAUUGAUUGAAAGAUGCAAUUGCAUCACUACCAGAUGGACCUGCGUUGUAUUAGCUAGUAGGUGAGGUAACGGCUCACCUAGGCGACGAUACAUAGCCGACCUGAGAGGGUGAUCGGCCACACUGGGACUGAGACACGGCCCAGACUCCUACGGGAGGCAGCAGUAGGGAAUCUUCGGCAAUGGACGAAAGUCUGACCGAGCAACGCCGCGUGAGGGAAGAAGGUUUUCGGAUCGUAAAGCUCUGUUGUAAGAGAAGAACGGGUGUGAGAGUGGAAAGUUCACACUGUGACGGUAUCUUACCAGAAAGGGACGGCUAACUACGUG
RNAcentral lists this ribosomal RNA (505 nucleotides) under uncultured bacterium. Its description in RNAcentral is "partial 16S ribosomal RNA". It matches the Rfam family "Bacterial small subunit ribosomal RNA", at positions 28 to 507 of the family's 1533-position model. The record is from RNAcentral.